Non-coding RNA from Cinara cedri, 209 nucleotides. NCBI's taxonomy places the organism in Eukaryota, Metazoa, Arthropoda, Insecta, Hemiptera, Aphididae. The record is from the annotation of a GenBank genome assembly.
CAAUUUGUUAUUUAUAUUUUGUGCUAAUAAGUUGGUCGUAAGUACUCGUAUUAUUAUAUUGAGAAAUAGGGUAGUUAACUAUAUAUGGUACUUGAAUAUUCAGAAUGUAGGUAAUAGCUUACUUAUAUCAUAAUGAUGUAUACGAUAAUUUACAAUUCAGUCAAUGAAAAACGCCUUCUAUCUUUUCAAGCCGGGUGUGUAAUCAUUUC